GUAUCUUCCCAGCUGAAGAAAGAACAACUUUGUGAGGGAUCAUGACGAGGCAACCUUUGGUCUUGUAGCUUGACAAGACAAAUGAGGGAGCUCAGAAAUAUGCCGAGUUUCUUCACCUUCGCAAGAGGAGAUUCACAGAUUUUG
Molecule: long non-coding RNA, 144 nt
Organism: Humulus lupulus (European hop)
Lineage: Eukaryota; Viridiplantae; Streptophyta; Magnoliopsida; Rosales; Cannabaceae
Exons: 2
Source: RefSeq, a predicted model, not a curated record